This is a long non-coding RNA of Oncorhynchus tshawytscha (Chinook salmon), 2011 nucleotides long. Lineage: Eukaryota; Metazoa; Chordata; Actinopteri; Salmoniformes; Salmonidae. The record is from Ensembl.
ACCCCUCCCCCAUUAAAAUCUUCCCCAAACAAGAGUCCUUUCUCCUCUGAAGAGGGACCCUCUGUCCAACGCCAAGUGACUCUCAUGGAGGCCAUAGGCGGUGGGACACUUGCCUUCACAAAAGGAGCUGGAGUGUCAAAUAAACUCAGUCAGAGCCCCCGACACACAAUCAUUCCUUUAUCAGGGCACCGCGAGAGGGACACAGAGACAGACUUUGUGUCAACGAGCGGACCUUGACAAAACACUGGGUGUUUUUAAUGUCGUUUUUAUUCCGCUCCCUUCUUCGAUUGAGCCUCGUCUUCUUCCGGGAGGGAUGUGUGUCGGGGUUCUGUUUACGGGACCCGUCUCACACCCGGCAUCUGUCCUGCACACGGCUAGGCUGACCUGGACCUGUGUGGUGCAGGCCUGGAGAGGUACACUGUCUGCACAGCACAACAGAGCACAACACAACACACUCCCCAGCCAGGCCUGGAGAGGUACACUGUCUGCACAGCACAACAGAGCACAACACAACACACUCCCCAGCCAGGCCUGGAGAGGUACACUGUCUGCACAGCACAACAGAGCACAACACAACACACUCCCCAGCCAGGCCUGGAGAGGUACACUGUCUGCACAGCACAACACACCACACUCCCCAGCCAGGCCUGGAGAGGUACACUGUCUGCACAGCACAACACACCACACUCCCCAGCCAGGCCUGGAGAGGUACACUGUCUGCACAGCACAACACACCACACUCCCCAGCCAGGCCUGCCUGUCACAACACAGAACAUUCCAGGAAAUCAUAUUUUAGAUUGUUGAGUUUCUUUCAUUUUUUGGACUCAGCUUAUAGCUGCUUAAAAUGAGUCUGCGAGCAGUAAAUGAGGAAGCAGCUUUCUUGCAGAGUUGAAGGAGCUGGCUGCAGUGUGAUACGAUAGGCUUGUGGUGAACCACAGCGGUGAGAGGUAUCCACAACAAGGUCAGACUCAGUUAGGAAGUCGACAUUUACUUCACUGAUGUUUUGCUACAAGUCAUUCUCUCAUUACUGAAAGUCUGAGGUAUUUUGGCAACACAACCUCCAAGCCCAAUGGAGACAUUUGCCAUAACUGCAGGCAACAUAUAUUAUGGAGUUUAUUUUACUUAUGGAGUGUGGCGUUGUCUGUAGAUUUUUCUGUAUUUCUUGGCCUCAUUGCAAAGCCUAACCCUCUAAAUAGGAUCAACAGUUGUAACAUGGUAAUAUCUAGACGUACAGUAUCCAUUUAUAACGCUGCUGUGAGAGAUUUCUACACAAAGUCCUGCCAGAUUAUUUUCCACUGAAACAUUGAGAGGACAGGAAAUCGCUCACAGAAACGACACUUGGUUCGUCAGACAGGACGGACACUCCCCUGUCGCCGUCCUGGUGUUUCUGUAGCGUUUGUCUUGUUCUGUAUGUGAAAGCCUUUGAUGCGCUGCGGUCAUGGGACAUUACCUCAGUUUGCACAACACUCGGGCAGCGUUCAGACAACAGGGAGUUGUGUACUCUGUACUCUACUCACAGACCUGUAUCUGCCUCACAAAGUGUUUGUCUAUUCACAAAGCCAAUCAAAGGAGCGCUGAUCUAGGAUCAGGUUCCCCCUGUCAAUAUAAUCUUAUUGUAGUAGCACUCCAACGUUGAGACACUUUGUGGAUAUUAGCCCAGACAGGCGGCCUGCAGGAGGGAGUGUGAUCAUCCUGCAAUGCUGAGGGAACAUUCAGACAACAUUGCUGCCCUGGCCCUAGUUUACCCUGUUGUACCUGCUUCAAUGACAGAGACCGAGCCAGACUCCUGCUCCAGACAGGACCCGAAGCCUGAUAAAUAAUACAGGCCUGCAGGAGGGGCUGUGAUAGUCCAACAACACCCAGGGAACAUUCACCAAACGUUAGGAACCAUUGGGUGUGUGUAAUCUACUCACAGGGCACUACGGGUCUCGUGACAGAAUCCGUGCACCAGGACCUGCCGUGUGCUGGCGUGCCCAUACAGACCUGCAGCAGGAGGAGUGUCAUAGUCCCC